CCUACGGGUGGCAGCAGUCGAGAAUCAUUCACAAUGGGGGAAACCCUGAUGGUGCGACGCCGCGUGGGGGAAUGAAGGUCUUCGGAUUGUAAACCCCUGUCAUGUGGGAGCAAAUUAAAAAGAUAGUACCACAAGAGGAAGAGACGGCUAACUCUGUGCCAGCAGCCGCGGUAAUACAGAGGUCUCACGCGUUGUUCGGAAUCACUGGGCGUAAAGCGUGCGUAGGCUGUUUCGUAAGUCGUGUGUGAAAGGCGCGGGCUCAACCCGCGGACGGCACAUGAUACUGCGAGACUAGUGUAAAGGAGGGGGAACCGGAAGUCGCGGUGUAGCAGUGAAAUGCGUAGAGA
This 347-nucleotide ribosomal RNA is filed under the name uncultured bacterium. RNAcentral describes it as "partial 16S ribosomal RNA". It matches the Rfam family "Bacterial small subunit ribosomal RNA", at positions 338 to 696 of the family's 1533-position model. The record is from RNAcentral.